Molecule: ribosomal RNA, 425 nt
Filed under: uncultured bacterium
Lineage: Bacteria
Description: bacterial SSU rRNA
Rfam family: Bacterial small subunit ribosomal RNA
Source: RNAcentral
UGGGGAAUCUUGCACAAUGGGGGCAACCCUGAUGCAGCGACGCCGCGUGAGCGAUGAAGCCCUUCGGGGUGUAAAGCUCUUUCGGCAGGGACGAAUCAAGACGGUACCUGCAGAAGCAGCUGCGGCUAACUACGUGCCAGCAGCCGCGGUAAUACGUAGGCAGCGAGCGUUGUUCGGAGUUACUGGGCGUAAAGGGUGUGUAGGCGGUUCUCUAAGUUUGGUGUGAAAUCUCCCGGCUUAACCGGGAGGGUGCGCCGAAAACUGGGGGACUAGAGUGCGGGAAGGGAGAGUGGAAUUCCUGGUGUAGCGGUGAAAUGCGUAGAUAUCAGGAGGAACACCGGUGGUGUAGACGGCUCUCUGGACCGUAACUGACGCUGAGACACGAAAGCGUGGGUAGCAAACAGGAUUAGAUACCCCGGUAGUCC